RNAcentral lists this long non-coding RNA (1144 nucleotides) under Daphnia magna. Its description in RNAcentral is "uncharacterized LOC116916586, transcript variant X2". The record is from RNAcentral. Lineage: Eukaryota; Metazoa; Arthropoda; Branchiopoda; Diplostraca; Daphniidae.
UUUCAUAUUAAUAUAUUAUGUUUCCCUCGUACAAAACGAGUUUUAAAUACUCUUUUACUUUUUCUGCUUUUUUAGAUAAACUGACACAAGAGUUUGGUACCUUCUCAAACAGGCAUAAUUUCAAUCUAAUUAAUUGUAUCUGAGAUUUUUUUUACCAGAUUUUUUUACUAACAGGGAGCCCUCACUUUUUGCCGUAGCAAAACUGUUGGAAACAGGUCUUGUAAAUCUGAACAGGGUAGAAGUUCUUUUGUGUCCUGUAACAAAUCACCUGCUGGAAGUCAUCAUCCACCCGCUUAACUGCAUGAGAGAAUGGGGAAUAUAGGUCAUUACUACGUUAGUUAGAUCAGCAAUUCAAUAUGAAUAUUCCACCUCUUUAAAAGCAAACCAGAGAUUGCAGACGUUAAUAUCGCCAUUAAAUGAGCUGUCUAGUACCAGUUUGGCAGACGUGCGGCAAAAGUAAGUUAAUUGUGUGCUCCAUUUGCUGCACAGCUCUGGUGACAUAAUCUCUUUUGGAUGGCCCUUGUUUCUUAAUAUCAUAGGAGCUAUCAACAAUUCUCAAGGAGAAAAUUCAGUACGCUCCGCGUUCCAGUGUUUACAGUUGGUGGUAAGGGAUUAUCUCCCUGUUUUACCAUGGAAAUGCCUGCCUUCAGCAGUCGAAACGACCGGAAAAUUUGGAUCACAAACACAAGAUCUCAACGUUUCUCUCACAGCAAUUGGUCUCAUGGUAUAAUUUCGGUUAUAUUAAUUAUAUUUUUGGAGUGCCUAGAAGAAUAGUUGCAGGUACACGUCGGCUUUUUUGCUGUUUUGGAUAAAGAGACACCUUUAUCUAAAAAAUGUUGGUACCUUCUCAAACAGGUAUAAUUUUGAUUAUAUUAAUUGUAUUUAUCAUGUUAUAUCAAUUACUUUAUCACAUUAUUUUACUUUUAUUUAGUAAAUCGUCUUUAAAAUAACUGAAACAAUUUAUAUAAUUUAAUUUGUGUUGUAGACAGUAAAUGAUGCACUUUCAUUUCCAUAAAUCAAUUGUAACCAUUUUACUUUAAUUUUACUAUUUUUUAUUGCAUGGCAGCGAUGUAUAAAGUUUUUAUGACUCAAUUUUUAAUUUGAGCAACAUUUAAAAUACAUUGUUUCUGUUUGCCUAUCGUAU